UAACCUACGGGGGGCAGCAGUGAGGGAUAUUGGUCAAUGGGGGAAACCCUGAACCAGCAACGCCGCGUGAGGGAAGACGGUUUUCGGAUUGUAAACCUCUGUCCUCUGUGAAGAUAAUGACGGUAGCAGAGGAGGAAGCUCCGGCUAACUACGUGCCAGCAGCCGCGGUAAUACGUAGGGAGCAAGCGUUGUCCGGAUUUACUGGGUGUAAAGGGAGCGUAGACGGCAGCGCAAGUCUGGAGUGAAAUGCCGGGGCUCAACCCCGGAACUGCUUUGGAAACUGUGCAGCUAGAGUGCGGGAGAGG
Molecule: ribosomal RNA, 305 nt
Filed under: uncultured bacterium
Lineage: Bacteria
Description: bacterial SSU rRNA
Rfam family: Bacterial small subunit ribosomal RNA
Source: RNAcentral